GAUGAACGCUGGCGGCGUGCCUAAUACAUGCAAGUCGAGCGAACAGACGAGGAGUUUGCUCCUCUGACGUUAGCGGCGGACGGGUGAGUAACACGUGGAUAACCUACCUAUAAGACUGGGAUAACUUCGGGAAACCGGAGCUAAUACCGGAUAAUAUAUUGAACCGCAUGGUUCAAUAGUGAAAGACGGUUUUGCUGUCACUUAUUGAUGGAUCCGCGCCGCAUUAGCUAGUUGGUAAGGUAACGGCUUACCAAGGCAACGAUGCGUAGCCGACCUGAGAGGGUGAUCGGCCACACUGGAACUGAGACACGGUCCAGACUCCUACGGGAGGCAGCAGUAGGGAAUCUUCCGCAAUGGGCGAAAGCCUGACGGAGCAACGCCGCGUGAGUGAUGAAGGUCUUCGGAUCGUAAAACUCUGUUAUUAGGGAAGAACAAAUGUGUAAGUAACUAUGCACGUCUUGACGGUACCUAAUCAGAAGGCCACGGCUAACUACGUG
RNAcentral lists this ribosomal RNA (497 nucleotides) under uncultured bacterium. RNAcentral's name for it is "partial 16S ribosomal RNA". It matches the Rfam family "Bacterial small subunit ribosomal RNA", at positions 28 to 507 of the family's 1533-position model. The record is from RNAcentral.